Molecule: ribosomal RNA, 169 nt
Filed under: Tumebacillus amylolyticus
Lineage: Bacteria; Bacillati; Bacillota; Bacilli; Caryophanales; Alicyclobacillaceae
Description: partial 23S ribosomal RNA
Rfam family: Bacterial large subunit ribosomal RNA
Source: RNAcentral
GAAGGGAUAAGCGCUGAAAGCAUCUAAGCGCGAAGCCCCCCUCAAGAUAAGACUUCCCACACGGUCAACGUGGUAAGACCCCCUGUAGACGACAGGGUUGAUAGGCUGGAGGUGUACGUGCCGUGAGGCAUUCAGCUGACCAGUACUAAUCGGUCGAGGGCUUAUCCUA